Long non-coding RNA from Schistocerca gregaria, 887 nucleotides. RefSeq lists it as uncharacterized. The record is from RefSeq and is a predicted model, not a curated record. NCBI's taxonomy places the organism in Eukaryota, Metazoa, Arthropoda, Insecta, Orthoptera, Acrididae. The transcript has 3 exons.
AGUAAAGAACUCCAAUUUCAAGGCGUCCGCGCGAGCCCGCACCUGCCUCAAUUGUCACAAGAACACCGACCGUGAUUACUGCUGCGACGAAUGCGGUAUUCAAUUUUUUUUGAAAAAGAUUCGAAAAAAAAAUCAAGUCGAGGCGCUGGAGCACUACAAGCAGCGGUUUGAAGAGCGAAAGCGCGAUAUCCUCAAAGCUAUCUUGAAAGAUGCCGAGGAAAACAAAAUAUCAGACUUCGCAGAAAGUGAUGACCUCCGCUAUCUGGAGGAAGUCAUAACGGAGAACAAAUCAUUAGAUGAAAAAUUUGAAAAAUUAGAGCAAAGGAAAUUAGAAUUUCAACGCUUGAUGAACAAAUGCAUGUCGUUGAAUGAAGUGCAGGAUAAUCCCACGAACGUUCAGGGAAAACAUCGGACCAGAGCAAAUAACGAAGUCAUCGACUGUGUUUGCUGCGGCCAUACUCUCCCCUUGAACGGAUUUGCUACACAUGUACUUUUGUGUUAUUUCAAACAGGAAUCUCAACUCACUCUGGUGUCUACACAUCCUACACCAGAUGACUGUAACAUGCUCAUCUACUGCGACUUUUACAAUCCCAAAUCUCAAACCUACUGUAAAAAACUAAAGGCAAGCUGUUUUAAGCAUUCCGACAUUGCUCGAUUCAAACAACGACCUUCGAGGUCAAGAGAAGUAUGCGGUCACCCCACAGAACCGGGUGGUAUAUGCAUGCUGUCUAAGAAAACGUGUCAAAAACACGUAAAUUGGGAAAACAUUCGCCAAUCGGAGUUAAAACUAGAGGAAAUUUCUUUGAACCGAAUGCGAUCUGUGCUGGAACUGGAGAGAACGAACAUUCAGGACAGGAUGGUUUUUAGAAGGCUGUACAAGAUGCAAG